CAAUAGCGUAUAUUAAAGUUGUUGCAGUUAAAAAGCUCGUAGUUGGAUUUCUGGUAGGAGUGACCGUGCCAGACUUGAUUGUCUGUGUAUUGUGUUGUCUCCAGCCAUCCUUGUGGAGAACUUUUCUUGCAUUAAUUUGUAGGGAUUGGGACCCGCAUCGUUUACUGUGAAAAAAUUAGAGUGUUUAAAGCAGGCAAUCGCUUGAAUACAUUAGCAUGGAAUAAUAAGAUAGGACUUUGGUACUAUUUUGUUGGGUUGCAUACCAAAUUAAUGAUCAACAGGAACAGUUUGAGGAUAUUCGUAUGAACAUGUCAGAGGUGAAAUUCUUGGAUUUUGAUCAGACGAACUACUGCGAAAGCAUUUAUCAAGGAUGUUUNCAUUAA
This 383-nucleotide ribosomal RNA is filed under the name uncultured eukaryote. RNAcentral's name for it is "partial 18S ribosomal RNA". It matches the Rfam family "Eukaryotic small subunit ribosomal RNA", at positions 592 to 976 of the family's 1831-position model. The record is from RNAcentral.